This 253-nucleotide ribosomal RNA is filed under the name uncultured bacterium. RNAcentral's name for it is "partial 16S ribosomal RNA". It matches the Rfam family "Bacterial small subunit ribosomal RNA", at positions 524 to 776 of the family's 1533-position model. The record is from RNAcentral.
UACGUAGGGUGCAAGCGUUGUCCGGAAUUACUGGGCGUAAAGCGUGCGUAGACGGUGGCGUAAGUCGGGUGUGAAAGCCCCGGGCUCAACCUGGGAAUUGCAUUCGAGACUGCUCUGCUAGGGUGCGGAAGAGGGAAGCGGAAUUUCCGGUGUAGCGGUGAAAUGCGUAGAUAUCGGAAGGAACACCAGUGGCGAAAGCGGCUUCCUGGUCCAGCACCGACGUUCAGGCACGAAAGCGUGGGGAGCAAACAGG